Molecule: ribosomal RNA, 569 nt
Filed under: Chrysotoxum intermedium
Lineage: Eukaryota; Metazoa; Arthropoda; Insecta; Diptera; Syrphidae
Description: eukaryotic LSU rRNA
Source: RNAcentral
ACUGCUUAGAGGUUAAGCCCGAUGAACCUGAAUAUCCAUUAUGGAAAAUUCAUCACUAAUUUUAAAAUAUAAAUAAUAUUAAAAGAAAAAAAGUGUGCAAUUUUUCCAUAUAAGGACAUUGUAAUCUGUUAAUGUAAUAAAUAUUUAUCAAAAGAUCUAUUACUAAAGUUUAUUUGAAUUAGUUAUUUUCGGAUUUCUAACAUAAAAUAAUUGUUUUAGAUUUGAUAAAUCAUUGACAGAUAUAAUUAUAUAAUGUGCUGAAAUUCUUCUGGAAUUUUAUAAUGGUAUUUAAAUCUAUUGAUUUAUUUAUUUAAUUAUAUGCGCUAUUAUGAUUAACAAUGCGAUAGAUUCAGGAUACCUUCGGGACCCGUCUUGAAACACGGACCAAGGAGUCUAACAUAUGUGCAAGUCAUUGGGUAUUUUUAAUAAAACCCAAUGGCAUAAUUAACUUAACUGAUAUUAAUAAUGGGAUUAAUUUAUGAUUUGUUAUGAAUUGUUUAUUCAAUCCCGGGGCGUUCUAUAUAGUUAUGCAUAAUGAUAUUUAUAUUAUUUAUGCCUCUAACUAGAGC